RNAcentral lists this ribosomal RNA (547 nucleotides) under fungal sp. TZ-2015b. RNAcentral describes it as "eukaryotic LSU rRNA". The stretch from base 181 to 334 matches the Rfam family "5.8S ribosomal RNA". Lineage: Eukaryota; Fungi. The record is from RNAcentral.
GUGGGGCUGCGUUUGUUAUUCGGGAGCCGCAGGCCUCCCGGGUAACCUACCACCCUUUGUUUAUUACACUUUGUUGCUUUGGCAGGCCUGCCCUCGGGCUGCUGGCUCCGGCCGGCGAGCGCUUGCCAGAGGACCUAAACUCUGUUUGUCUAUACUGUCUGAGUACUAUAUAAUAGUUAAAACUUUCAACAACGGAUCUCUUGGUUCUGGCAUCGAUGAAGAACGCAGCGAAAUGCGAUAAGUAAUGUGAAUUGCAGAAUUCAGUGAAUCAUCGAAUCUUUGAACGCACAUUGCGCCCCCUGGUAUUCCGGGGGGCAUGCCUGUCCGAGCGUCAUUACAACCCUCAAGCUCAGCUUGGUGUUGGGCCCCGCCGCCCCGGCGGGCCCUAAAGUCAGUGGCGGUGCCGUCCGGCUCCGAGCGUAGUAAUUCUUCUCGCUCUGGAGGUCCGGUCGUGUGCUUGCCAUCAACCCCCAAUUUUUUUCAGGUUGACCUCGGAUCAGGUAGGGAUACCCGCUGAACUUAAGCAUAUCAAUAAGCAGAGGAAUAC